Molecule: long non-coding RNA, 275 nt
Organism: Ahaetulla prasina
Lineage: Eukaryota; Metazoa; Chordata; Lepidosauria; Squamata; Colubridae
Exons: 3
Source: RefSeq, a predicted model, not a curated record
GCGGCCGGUUCCUGAGUCGCCUUUCGGAGCUCGCCGGGGCCAAAGUCCGGGGUGGGUGGGAGGAGGUCCAGGUUCCCAGUUGAGGGGAGGGGGUCCCUGUUGCUUUCCUCGCGACCCCCCGCCUCUUCCUGGCUCUCCGGUGCUGACAAAGUGGCUGUCCUCACUCACUCACCCUUUGGAUAACCACUUAACCGAACUAGGACUUUGCUAGAAUCCCGGCUGUAGCAGCCCCUGCCCUACGUGGAUGCUCCACAGAUGUGCUGGAUGACAGCCAG